This 253-nucleotide ribosomal RNA is filed under the name uncultured bacterium. Its description in RNAcentral is "partial 16S ribosomal RNA". It matches the Rfam family "Bacterial small subunit ribosomal RNA", at positions 524 to 776 of the family's 1533-position model. The record is from RNAcentral.
GACAGAGGGUGCAAACGUUGUUCGGAAUUACUGGGCGUAAAGCGAGUGUAGGCGGUGACAUAAGUCAGGUGUGAAAUCCCACGGCUCAACCAUGGAAGUGCACUUGAUACUGUGUCGCUUGAGUACUGGAGAGGUUGGUGGAAUUCUUGGUGUAGAGGUGAAAUUCGUAGAUAUCAAGAGGAACACCGGUGGCGAAGGCGGCCAACUGGACAGAUACUGACGCUGAGACUCGAAAGUGCGGGGAGCAAACAGG